Molecule: long non-coding RNA, 720 nt
Filed under: Panax ginseng (ginseng)
Lineage: Eukaryota; Viridiplantae; Streptophyta; Magnoliopsida; Apiales; Araliaceae
Description: long non-coding RNA (PGIN_LNC007946)
Source: RNAcentral
AGCGGAAACAACAAUCCAUUAGAAGAGUCACGUAGAGAAAGAAUUCUACUGUCUUCUAAGGUUUAAAAGUCCAUCAUCAAUAGUUUAUCCCUGUAAUAACAAUCAAUAUACAUCUUUAAUCAUCUUUGCACUACAGGCCAAAGAUAUUCAUUUGUAUCACCAGUUGGUCAUGUUCAUCUCAACACCUGUUCAUCUUUGCACUACAGGCCAAAGAUAUUCAUCAGUUAAUCGUUCAUCUUUGCACUACAGGCCAAAGAUAUUCAUUUAUAUCACCAUUUAGGACUGAGGAUGAUGAAAAACAUUUUUAAAGAAACGAAUCCAGUGAAACAAAAUGACAAGGAUUAAGGAUUAAGGAUUCGUACUUUGUUUUACCCAUGUCCAAAAAUACUUCGAAAAUAAUCAUAUUGGUGUAAAAUUCAAGAAUGAUCAAAACAUGGAUACAAUCAAAGCUAGUAUCCAGAAUAGAUAUUUUGGACAAAAAGAAAAAUUUUUAUUUUUCGGUGAAUAGUGCCGUAUUCGUGAAUAGUGUCGUAUACGUGAAUAGUGCCGUAUACGUGAAUAGUAACCCCGACACAACAAGUUCCAAAUUUGAUAAAAAAGUUCACCAAUACUUCGGCAUAAUGAUAUUGAAGAAAAAAUAUCAUUUAAGAAGAAAAUAAUACCCCUUACCUCAAAAUAACCGUACUUCUGACUGAAUUUCGGUAUAGUGCUGACAGAAAC